UGGUAUCUAAACACCUGAACACAAAAAGUGUUGCCAUCUAACGAUACACCGGGCAAGUUGAAAAUACAUAACUGCAGGAUAAUAAAAUUAUAAAUAACAAUCUAACAAGUGGAACUGUUACAUUACCUAGUCAUUAUCAAACUGUAUAUUACAGUACCUAAACACACAACUGAAAAAACACCUAACCUAAUUUUCAUACUAAUUAACAAUAGUUAUUGUAAAACAAGCAGUCUCUUAAAAUGUUGCGAUCUUUAAUUAUAAUAUAUUGUUUAAUAUUUUAAUCGUUCUUAGUUUCUCGUUUGAGCUAAAGAGAGGUUAGAAUCGAUAGAAUCGAUUGAUCGAAUGAUAGAUCUCGAGUUUUGAGUACGCGUGCGCCAAUUGGAUCUCGCUUUCGAUCUUGUUUUUCGAUUCUGUUCACGCGUCUCGAUCACUCGCACGAUCAUCGAUAAUGAUGAUCGAUGAUCUACGGUGAUCGAUAGUAGUGUCAGGAGCGCAUGAGGCCCGAGGAAGUUGAUUCUACCACCACUUCACGACCCAACGCAACGUUUUCUUGACGUCAUCGGGCUUGUAGACAGGUUCCCUUACGUUACACGAGUAUGAUACAUUCCCCUGUUGCGUACACACGCAUUCUAGCACGUACGAAAGCCGCGUGCAUUUCAUUACACAUUGAAAGCAAAAGUGCUACCGCGUGGCGUAAGGAAAUCAUCAAAUUCUACUGUAGAUCGUAAAAACGUUGAAAUAAUUAAGUGGUAAAUGGCUAGUCGCACGAAAAGGUCAGAAAGUAGAUUCAUAUCAGCGCAAUUAAAUUACAGCACGUAUUCGAUUGCGCAAUGGUACUAAGGUUGAUUGAAAUAUCCCUAGCUAAUUCUUCUACGGAACUGUGAUUGGGUAAUAGGAACGAUAUAAAUCAGGAGGUUCGAUGCGCGCAUUUUCGCACGCAACGAAGCACCACGUGCACGUGCUAUUCAAUAGUGAAAGGAAAAGUGGAAGAGGAGAUCCCUGUUACAGUGAACCCGGAAUGCUUCAAUGAUGCCCUAUAUGAUACUGGCAGGAGUUAUCAAUAUUGGCUCCCUCACCAUUCUUGAAAAAAAAAAACCCUAGCUACCCCAAUGGUUAUCAAGGCUACAAUAGCAAAGGUGGAUCAUUAUCCUUGAGAUUUCCCAGUUCAAUUGUGUAACCGAUACACCAGGGUGUGGCGCUAAAAGCUAAAAGCUUGCUAAAAGCAUGGAAGGUCAAGGUAUAUUUACCAGAUUCAUUUGCCAUCUGUAAAAUCAAGUUUCAUCUGCUUCUUAGAAUGUAUGCAAGAACACGAUCGCUGUAACGUUACACCAGCAUCGUCGCGGACAAGAUAAAGCACACGGCUGACUUUUGUAUAAGAUAUUCGCAUGCUUCAGGUGAAUUCUGAGUGGGAAAUCAUGCAUUAUGCAGAGGGUGAUAGCAGUCUUGACGAAUCAUCGAGUUCCGUGGUUCAUGAUCCCACGAGUAACCGCGACCUACCACUCCCCGAUAACGAAUCCAACACGUAACAUGCUCUACGCAAAAUAAAGCAAUUACGGUAUAAUCAAUAUCAAUUAGAAUCGAGGAAAUUAGAAAACAGAAAGCCCUUUCCCUUUGGCGAUUCACAGAAGAGACGAUAAAGAAGAUUGGAAUGUUGCUUUAUGAAUGACUCUGACCAAGGGAAAAUGGAAGGGAUAAUCAAGGGUCUGGGACGUGUUUCGUGGAACGGAGAAAGAGAUCACUCGCAAGAUCCAUCCCGAUGACUCAUAUGAGUCAUGCGAUGAAAUUCGCGCCGGGUCAUCGGCUGGGAAACCUGAGGAAGCUCCCAUUCAUGAAAUUAACCUUCUUACGCAAAGAUAUCUUUUAAUUUUCGCGCACAGUUCGAACAGAGUGAACGGAGUAUCGUUUGAUGAAACUUUUUCAUUCACCAGACAUCUGUCUCGAUAUCAUUUUCCAAGCCCAAUAUUCGAGGGAGAAGCGAAUGAAAAGCUUGGAAAAAUGGGGAGAAAAUCGAGCAGUGACGGCGGUAAUCUUACCAGUGCAAAUAUUGAUGGAAGAACCAGACGACUUGAUACGCAACGAAAGAUUUUUCUUUUCACCCUGAAACCUCUUACAAUUGCAGAAAGACGUAUCAUUUUUAUAAGACGCGAGAAUGAGGUAGAAUGCCGAGAGCACGAUAAUGAUUUAAAAUAAGAAGAAAAAUUGAGGGUGUAAGAGAGGCGAGUAAAAUGUCGCGUGUCGAAUCGACAGAUUGUUCUGGAUCGAAAUUCUCGGUCUGGAAUGGCGAGAGAAUCAAUGGCGGCUAUUUUGAGGUCUCGGCGUCGUCGACGUCGUCGUCGAGAAUGUUCUCGCGUCUUCGAAGACGUUGAAGAUCGCGACGUCUUCGACGCGUCUUUUUCGAAUUGAAAAAUAAGCCAUCUAUGCGACUAUUUCUUCAUUUUACAAUAUACACUUUUCUAGGAUCCCUUAUGAAAAAAAAAAAAUAAUCAUAGGCGUAACUAGUAGAUCAAUUGUAAAUCCACAGAAUUUCAAAAAUUAGAAUCUUAGAAUACUGAAGGAGCCCUGGCCCUACUUUGCCCCCUAUCUAAUUACAGCCUGAACAAUUGAAACUAUUUAAAAA
Long non-coding RNA from Osmia lignaria (orchard mason bee), 2617 nucleotides. RefSeq lists it as uncharacterized. NCBI's taxonomy places the organism in Eukaryota, Metazoa, Arthropoda, Insecta, Hymenoptera, Megachilidae. The record is from RefSeq and is a predicted model, not a curated record.